Molecule: small RNA, 178 nt
Filed under: Pongo abelii (Sumatran orangutan)
Lineage: Eukaryota; Metazoa; Chordata; Mammalia; Primates; Hominidae
Description: processed transcript
Source: RNAcentral
GGGUCCCAGCGAGAAGGGAGGGUCCCAGCGAGGGGGCAGGGCCAGGGACUGGCCGAAGCACUGGAAGGCCAAGCUCAAGAGGAAUCCGGGGGACCUGUCACUCGUGACCAGCCUGGUCUCACACCUGCUCAGCCUUCCCGACCACCCGAUCGCGCAGCUCUUGAGGCGGCUGCAGUGC